AACGCACAUUGCGCCCCCUGGUAUUCCGGGGGGCAUGCCUGUUCGAGCGUCAUUUAAACCCUCAAGCUCAGCUUGGUGUUGGGGCCUGCCCACCGGCAGCCCUUAAAAUCAGUGGCGGUGCCAUCUGGCUCUAAGCGUAGUAAUUUCUCUCGCUAUAGGGUCCCGGUGGAGACUUGCCAAAACCCCCAAUUUUUCUAUGGUUGACCUCGGAUCAGGUAGGGAUACCCGCUGAACUUAA
This 238-nucleotide unclassified non-coding RNA is filed under the name Suillus sp. RNAcentral's name for it is "partial contains 5.8S ribosomal RNA, internal transcribed spacer 2, and large subunit ribosomal RNA". The stretch from base 1 to 52 matches the Rfam family "5.8S ribosomal RNA", at positions 103 to 154 of the family's 154-position model. Lineage: Eukaryota; Fungi; Basidiomycota; Agaricomycetes; Boletales; Suillaceae. The record is from RNAcentral.